RNAcentral lists this non-coding RNA (28 nucleotides) under Homo sapiens (human). Lineage: Eukaryota; Metazoa; Chordata; Mammalia; Primates; Hominidae. The record is from RNAcentral.
ACCACUGAUCUGGCCAAGAAUGAGGCCC